CAGCCGCCGCGGUAAUACCGAGGGUGCGAGCGUUAAUCGGAUUUACUGGGCGUAAAGCGUGCGUAGGCGGCUUCUUAAGUCGGAUGUGAAAUCCCUGAGCUUAACUUAGGAAUUGCAUUCGAUACUGGGAAGCUAGAGUAUGGGAGAGGAUGGUAGAAUUCCAGGUGUAGCGGUGAAAUGCGUAGAGAUCUGGAGGAAUACCGAUGGCGAAGGCAGCCAUCUGGCCUAAUACUGACGCUGAGGUACGAAAGCAUGGGGAGCAAACAGGAUUAGAUACCCCCGUAGUCCAUGUCUCUUAUAC
RNAcentral lists this ribosomal RNA (301 nucleotides) under uncultured bacterium. RNAcentral describes it as "partial 16S ribosomal RNA". It matches the Rfam family "Bacterial small subunit ribosomal RNA", at positions 509 to 807 of the family's 1533-position model. The record is from RNAcentral.